This 836-nucleotide long non-coding RNA is filed under the name Cottoperca gobio. RNAcentral describes it as "lncRNA (ENSCGOG00000022494.1)". Lineage: Eukaryota; Metazoa; Chordata; Actinopteri; Perciformes; Bovichtidae. The record is from RNAcentral.
GCCUGGUGCGCUGGAUGGUAAAGGGCAGGCGGUGUGUGUGUGUAGGAGAGAGACCAACGAAGGGAGUGUGUAUGUGUGUGUGUGUGUGUGUUUAUUGUCCUCGCCGGCCUUUUCGAGAUCAGCGAGGGGAUUUGACUCGGCCGCUCGCAGCCAAAUCCAGCUAUCUGCUGUGUUCAGAUGCUGCGGUUGGUUCCAGCGCGGAUGAAGGGGGCCCCACGGAGGACGGGUCCAGUUAUCCAGGGUGGAGGGAGCAGGUGGAGUCGUCGGCCAGAGGACGGAGGCCCGAGAGUCUCGAGCACACGGCUGAAGAGAAACACAGAAGGAUGGAGGAGAGGAAAACAAAGGUGCUGAACAUGCUUUCCAAACUGCAGGACGACACGCCUCGUCAGCCAAACGGCAACAAAGGUCACUCCAACUUCGAGGAAUUCGACUUUUUGGCAAAGUAUUGCAUUUUCAGUCAGGAGAAGCUGGCGGAGUACAAAAGAGCUUUUGAAGCAGAGGACGGUGAUGGUGACGGCUACAUCUCCUGCCUUCAGGUUCUACUCGCUCUAAAAAACAUCAUUCCUCCAGAGCUGCUGUCUGACGAAGAAGAGAUCUACGUUUACAGGGUCUGCUUUACUGCGUCUGAAACAUGCAAAUACACAUAUAUAUAUGUGUAUAUAUGUGCACAUAUAUACACAUAUAUACGUGCAUAUAUAUGUGCAUAUAUAUAUAUAUAUAUAUAUAUAUAUAUGCACAUAUAUGUGCACAUAUAUAUGCACAUAUAUACGUGCAUAUAUAUAUGUGUAUAUAUGUGUAUAUAUGUGUAUAUAUGUGUAUAUAUGUAUAUAUAUACA